CUGAGGCGCCCAGGUAUCCUCACCUGGCCGCCAGCCUCCCGCAGGAAGAACAGACACGUUGGUUCCACACCGAACCUGUUAACAGCUUGACUUCAAAUAUUUGGUAAGUGAAACCUCACUGGAACGUCACACUUGUAAGAAUAUAGGUUGAUCUGUUGACUUCUGCUUUCCUGGGCCAUGUGUGAUUGGGAUGACAGGGACGUGUACUCAUGGUGCUUUCCACAACUCUUCAGCAAUGUGGAAAUGAAGCAUUUGUUGGAGGACUAUAUGAAGACACACAGAACAUCGAAUUCGUGUGACCUAAGAGAGCCACAUGUUCCCUGACUGGAGAUGGUCUCUGCUUUUCUUUAUGGUGUAUUUUUAAUACAUUGGUAUUUUUAA
Long non-coding RNA from Arvicanthis niloticus (Nile rat), 381 nucleotides. RefSeq lists it as uncharacterized. The record is from RefSeq and is a predicted model, not a curated record. NCBI's taxonomy places the organism in Eukaryota, Metazoa, Chordata, Mammalia, Rodentia, Muridae.